GGGCGUGUAACUCAGUGGUAGAGUGUUCGCUUUGCAACUGCCAAUAUGCGAAAAGCCCGGCGUUCGAUCCGCCGCUCGUCCA
Molecule: transfer RNA, 82 nt
Organism: Aspergillus ruber CBS 135680
Lineage: Eukaryota; Fungi; Ascomycota; Eurotiomycetes; Eurotiales; Aspergillaceae
Rfam family: tRNA
About the family: Transfer RNA (tRNA) molecules are approximately 80 nucleotides in length.
Source: Rfam